Molecule: ribosomal RNA, 86 nt
Filed under: uncultured fungus
Lineage: Eukaryota; Fungi
Description: partial 5.8S ribosomal RNA
Rfam family: 5.8S ribosomal RNA
About the family: 5.8S ribosomal RNA (5.8S rRNA) is a component of the large subunit of the eukaryotic ribosome. It is transcribed by RNA polymerase I as part of the 45S precursor that also contains 18S and 28S rRNA.
Source: RNAcentral
AUAGCAGAAUUCAGUGAAUCAUCGAAUCUUUGAACGCACCUUGCGCUCCUUGGUAUUCCAAGGAGCAUGCCUGUUUGAGUAUCAUU